CGCGGCCUAUCAGCUUGUUGGUGGGGUGAUGGCCCACCAAGGCGACGACGGGUAGCCGGCCUGAGAGGGUGUCCGGCCACACUGGGACUGAGAUACGGCCCAGACUCCUACGGGAGGCAGCAGUGGGGAAUAUUGCACAAUGGGCGCAAGCCUGAUGCAGCGACGCCGCGUGGGGGAUGACGGCCUUCGGGUUGUAAACCUCUUUCACCAUCGGCGAAGCCGGGAGCUUUUGUUUCUGGUGACGGUAGGUGGAGAAGAAGCACCGGCCAACUACGUGCCAGCAGCCGCGGUAAUACGUAGGGUGCGAGCGUUGUCCGGAAUUACUGGGCGUAAAGAGCUCGUAGGUGGUUUGUCGCGUUGUCCGUGAAAUUCCCUGGCUUAACUGGGGGCGUGCGGGCGAUACGGGCAGACUGGAGUACUGCAGGGGAGACUGGAAUUCCUGGUGUAGCGGUGGAAUGCGCAGAUAUCAGGAGGAACACCGGUGGCGAAGGCGGGUCUCUGGGCAGUAACUGACGCUGAGGAGCGAAAGCGUGGGGAGCGAACAGGAUUAGAUACCCUGGUAGUCCACGCCGUAAACGGUGGGUACUAGGUGUGGGUUUCCUUCCUUGGGAUCCGUGCCGUAGCUAACGCAUUAAGUACCCCGCCUGGGGAGUACGG
This 657-nucleotide ribosomal RNA is filed under the name uncultured bacterium. RNAcentral's name for it is "bacterial SSU rRNA". It matches the Rfam family "Bacterial small subunit ribosomal RNA", at positions 232 to 885 of the family's 1533-position model. The record is from RNAcentral.